GAUGAAGAACGCAGCGAAAUGCGAUACUUGGUGUGAAUUGCAGAAUCCCGUGAACCAUCGAGUCUUUGAACGCAAGUUGCGCCCGAAGCCACUAGGCCGAGGGCACGCCUGCCUGGGCGUCACACGUCGUUGCCCCCCACCAUCUACUCCUUCGGGAUUGCGGGGGGCGGAUGAUGGCCUCCCGUGCGCCUAGCCGCGCGGUUGGCAUAAAUACCAAGUCCUCGGCGACGCACGCCACGACAAUCGGUGGUGGCGAAACCUCGGUUGCCCGUCGUGUGCGUUCGUCGCGCAUCGAGGGCUCGAAAAAAUGCUCGGCUCCGGCUCGGCUUUCAACGCGACCCCAGGUCAGGCGGGGUUACCCGCUGAAUUUAAGCAUAUCAAUAAGCGGAUGA
RNAcentral lists this unclassified non-coding RNA (392 nucleotides) under soil metagenome. RNAcentral's name for it is "partial contains 5.8S ribosomal RNA, internal transcribed spacer 2, and large subunit ribosomal RNA". The stretch from base 1 to 122 matches the Rfam family "5.8S ribosomal RNA", at positions 35 to 154 of the family's 154-position model. The record is from RNAcentral.